GAGGUCAAGCAAAUCCCAUAAAGUUGUUCUCAGUUCGGAUUGUAGUCUGCAACUCGACUACAUGAAGCUGGAAUCGCUAGUAAUCGUAGAUCAGCAUGCUACGGUGAAUACGUUCCCGGGUCUUGUACACACCGCCCGUCACACCACGAGAGUUUGUAACACCCGAAGCCGGUGGAGUAACCUUUUAGGAGCUAGCCGUCGAAGGUGGGACAAAUGAUUGGGGUGAAGUCGUAACAAGGUAGCCGUAUCGGAAGGUGCGGCUGGAUCUCCUCCUUUCUAAGGA
RNAcentral lists this ribosomal RNA (283 nucleotides) under Staphylococcus aureus. RNAcentral's name for it is "partial 16S ribosomal RNA". It matches the Rfam family "Bacterial small subunit ribosomal RNA", at positions 1259 to 1533 of the family's 1533-position model. The record is from RNAcentral. Lineage: Bacteria; Bacillati; Bacillota; Bacilli; Caryophanales; Staphylococcaceae.